AUUGAACGCUGGCGGCAGGCCUAACACAUGCAAGUCGAGCGGAUGAAGGGAGCUUGCUCCUGGAUUCAGCGGCGGACGGGUGAGUAAUGCCUAGGAAUCUGCCUGGUAGUGGGGGAUAACGUCCGGACACGGGCGCUAAUACCGCAUACGUCCUGAGGGAGAAAGUGGGGGAUCUUCGGACCUCACGCUAUCAGAUGAGCCUAGGUCGGAUUAGCUAGUUGGUGGGGUAAAGGCCUACCAAGGCGACGAUCCGUAACUGGUCUGAGAGGAUGAUCAGUCACACUGGAACUGAGACACGGUCCAGACUCCUACGGGAGGCAGCAGUGGGGAAUAUUGGACAAUGGGCGAAAGCCUGAUCCAGCCAUGCCGCGUGUGUGAAGAAGGUCUUCGGAUUGUAAAGCACUUUAAGUUGGGAGGAAGGGAAGUAAGUUUAUACCUUGCUGUUUUGACGUUACCAACAGAAUAAGCACCGGCUAACUUCGUG
RNAcentral lists this ribosomal RNA (484 nucleotides) under uncultured bacterium. RNAcentral describes it as "partial 16S ribosomal RNA". It matches the Rfam family "Bacterial small subunit ribosomal RNA", at positions 30 to 507 of the family's 1533-position model. The record is from RNAcentral.